Molecule: transfer RNA, 62 nt
Filed under: Franciscoloa roseicapillae
Lineage: Eukaryota; Metazoa; Arthropoda; Insecta; Psocodea; Menoponidae
Description: tRNA-Gly
Source: RNAcentral
AGUUAUUUAGUAUAAUAAGUAUAUCUGACUUCCAAUUAGAUGGUUCUUUAUGGAAUAACUAA